This 542-nucleotide ribosomal RNA is filed under the name Rattus rattus rufescens. RNAcentral describes it as "partial 16S ribosomal RNA". It matches the Rfam family "Bacterial large subunit ribosomal RNA", at positions 1844 to 2610 of the family's 2925-position model. Lineage: Eukaryota; Metazoa; Chordata; Mammalia; Rodentia; Muridae. The record is from RNAcentral.
UAUUAGAGGCAUUGCCUGCCCAGUGACUAAAGUUAAACGGCCGCGGUAUCCUGACCGUGCAAAGGUAGCAUAAUCACUUGUUCCUUAAUUAGGGACUAGAAUGAAUGGCUAAACGAGGGUUCAACUGUCUCUUACUUUCAAUCAGUGAAAUUGACCUUCCAGUGAAGAGGCUGGAAUACUACAAUAAGACGAGAAGACCCUAUGGAGCUUUAAUUUACUAGUUUAAUUUAUAUAAUAACAACCUAAUGGACCAAGACAAAAUAAAUAUAAACUAAAAAUUUCGGUUGGGGUGACCUCGGAGAAUAAAAAAUCCUCCGAAUGAUUUUAACCUAGACCCACAAGUCAAAGUAAUAUUAAUAUCUUAUUGACCCAAUUAUUGAUCAACGGACCAAGUUACCCUAGGGAUAACAGCGCAAUCCUAUUUAAGAGUUCAUAUCGACAAUUAGGGUUUACGACCUCGAUGUUGGAUCAGGACAUCCCAAUGGUGCAGAAGCUAUUAAUGGUUCGUUUGUUCAACGAUUAAAGUCCUACGUGAUCUGAGU